This is a long non-coding RNA of Aedes aegypti (yellow fever mosquito), 709 nucleotides long. RefSeq lists it as uncharacterized. The record is from RefSeq and is a predicted model, not a curated record. Lineage: Eukaryota; Metazoa; Arthropoda; Insecta; Diptera; Culicidae. The transcript is spliced from 2 exons.
GCUGAUUUGAGACGUCAUGUGAAUAGGCCUAUGGAACAGAAAAAAGCCAGCGGUGCAAACAGGCUUUGCGGAUCUCAUCCGUCUUUUGCCGUACAAAAUUAGUUUGACCAGUGCCAUUUGUUGUCCGCUGAUGAUGGAGCCACACAUCCCGAUUAAAAUCGACUGCCAGCAUCACGUCCACCGGGUAUGCCGGUAACUGGUCCGUCUUCAAAGCUAUCACCGGCAUGUAGUUGCCUACCGAGCCAGCAGGUGACCGUGUCCUCCAGCAGAGUCGUGAGCGCGGGUGAUUACCCUUAUCAGACCAGCAUCAGUACCAGCAGAACCAGAACCGGCAAGAACCUCAGCAUUAGCUACAAAAAGAAGUUUGGUUCCGUUCGGCACCGAUCAAACCCGUUUCCCCUGCUUCCAUGGCCGAAAUAGUGUUUUCAAUCACGUUCGAAACAAAAUCCACCGUACAUUGCAGUUACCCUACACACUGGGAAAGGAAACCGGCAAAAUCUCUCACAACCAUGACUAGGUUCACUAUGCCACAAGCGAUCGGAUUGGUAACCAAUUGAUGAGGAAUCAUGGAACAAAGCAUUGGCAGCGUAUUAAUGCCGCCAUAGACGGUGCAACGGAAGACUGUCGGCAUUCCAAGACUAUCGAGAUCCUCAUCGGGCUGCAUUGGCAUAAGAACCCCCACCCCCUAGAGAAUUUCGAAAAAAAAAAA